UAAAACAUCUGUAUAUGUAAUAGUAAUAAGUGAUGCAGUACAAAUACAGACAACCAAAAUUUCACCUUAUUUAAGAAAAGUAGAAAUAUUUUUCUGGAUAGCAGACUGGUUUGAAUCCUAUUCCACUAAAUAUCUAAAUCUUGAUUGAUCCUAUAAAAUCACCACUUCUGGUAGUACUUUUCACCAGUAAAAGUUAAAAUAUAAUCAAAAGCUACAAAAUCGCAAAAAUUCAUUCACAUUUGAAUAUUUAAUUCAUAUUAACACAGUGCCAAACUGGAUCACACCUUACCUUAGUUUCAUCUUAGUUCCUCUUUGGAGAAAUCUACUGAAAAUCAUUUGACUCCAAAAAAGAAGAAGAUAAAACUGGUUUAUCGCUAUUUUAUGAAAUUUUCCUUUGAUCUUUCUGACUGAUAAUUUCCUUUCUCAGCACAUUAGAGUGAUAGGAAGAAUUAAUGCUAGAAACUAAGGGCACACACACUGUUGUCAAUGAAAUUAACAACAUCGUCAAAAGGUAAAAUAGCGAUAAACAGAUUAUCAUUGGUCAUCUCAACUCGAUUGCUUUUCUCACAUUCGCUGUACCGGCUCAAGGGAUAAAAUCAAUCUUGUUGAGAUAACGAACGAUAAUCUUUAAAUAUCAGCUAACAAGAGGACAAUAAAAUAUUGUAUCUCACUUUAAAAGAAAGAUAAACUAUCAUGAUCAAUUCACUUAUUUAAAAGGAAGAUAAAAACUAUUAAUCACCAAACUAAAGGGAGAUAAAAACCUUUUGUAUCAAUAAUAAAUAGCAAUAUAAAAUAUACAUACUGGUAAUACCAGUUAAC
RNAcentral lists this long non-coding RNA (819 nucleotides) under Mytilus galloprovincialis (Mediterranean mussel). The record is from RNAcentral. Lineage: Eukaryota; Metazoa; Mollusca; Bivalvia; Mytilida; Mytilidae.